CAAAAGUGUUAAAGGAAGUUGGCCCUUAAAUAAUUAAAGGAAAGAAGAAGAAAUUGAGAGCAAGGGAGGAACAUUAAUGAGAAUGUCUGCUAACAAAGAUAACAAUGGAGAGACUGGUACUGAUAAUCUUGAGCAUAUUAGGAGCCAGUUUGAGUAUCACAGGAUGGAGUCAAUACAUCAAGAUAUUAUUGCUAUUAAGAAAU
This is a long non-coding RNA of Amphimedon queenslandica, 203 nucleotides long. RefSeq lists it as uncharacterized. The record is from RefSeq and is a predicted model, not a curated record. Lineage: Eukaryota; Metazoa; Porifera; Demospongiae; Haplosclerida; Niphatidae. The transcript is spliced from 2 exons.